UAGGGAAUCUUCGGCAAUGGACGGAAGUCUGACCGAGCAACGCCGCGUGAGUGAAGAAGGUUUUCGGAUCGUAAAGCUCUGUUGUAAGAGAAGAACGAGUGUGAGAGUGGAAAGUUCACACUGUGACGGUAUCUUACCAGAAAGGGACGGCUAACUACGUGCCAGCAGCCGCGGUAAUACGUAGGUCCCGAGCGUUAUCCGGAUUUAUUGGGCGUAAAGCGAGCGCAGGCGGUUAGAUAAGUCUGAAGUUAAAGGCUGUGGCUUAACCAUAGUACGCUUUGGAAACUGUUUAACUUGAGUGCAGAAGGGGAGAGUGGAAUUCCAUGUGUAGCGGUGAAAUGCGUAGAUACAUGGAGGAACACCGGUGGCGAAAGCGGCUCUCUGGUCUGUAACUGACGCUGAGGCUCGAAAGCGUGGGGAGCAAACAGGAUUAGAUACCCUGGUAGUCCACGCCGUAAACGAUGAGUGCUAGGUGUUGGGUCCUUUCCGGGACUCAGUGCCGCAGCUAACGCAUUAAGCACUCCGCCUGGGGAGUACGACCGCAAGGUUG
RNAcentral lists this ribosomal RNA (550 nucleotides) under uncultured bacterium. RNAcentral describes it as "bacterial SSU rRNA". It matches the Rfam family "Bacterial small subunit ribosomal RNA", at positions 355 to 896 of the family's 1533-position model. The record is from RNAcentral.